This 572-nucleotide ribosomal RNA is filed under the name uncultured bacterium. RNAcentral's name for it is "bacterial SSU rRNA". It matches the Rfam family "Bacterial small subunit ribosomal RNA", at positions 338 to 916 of the family's 1533-position model. The record is from RNAcentral.
CCUACGGGAGGCAGCAGUAGGGAAUAUUGGGCAAUGGAGACAACUCUGACCCAGCCAUGCCGCGUGCGGAAGACGGCCUUCUGGGUUGUAAACUGCUUUUGAUCGGGAACAAAGAGCCCUUGCGAGGGAAGUUGAGUGUACCGAUAGAAUAAGCACCGGCUAACUCCGUGCCAGCAGCCGCGGUAAUACGGAGGGUGCAAGCGUUGUCCGGAUUUAUUGGGUUUAAAGGGUGCGUAGGCGGCUUUUUAAGUCAGUGGUGAAAUCCUACAGCUUAACUGUNGAACAGCCAUUGAUACUGAAGAGCUUGAGUACAGACGAGGUAGGCGGAAUUUAUGGUGUGCGGUGAAAUGCAUAGAUACCAUAAAGAACUCCUAUUGCGAAGGCAGCUUACUAGGCUGUAACUGACGCUGAGGCACGAAAGCGUGGGGAUCAAACAGGAUUAGAUAUGGUAGUCCACGCCGUAAACGAUGAUUACUCGAUGUUCGCGAUAUACAGUGAGCGUCCAAGCGAAAGCGUUAAGUAAUCCACCUGGGAAGUACGAUCGCAAGAUUGAAACUCAAAGGAAUUGACGG